AUGUAUUUUGAACUGCUGGAGGCCUCUCGCAUUUGUCCCCUGAACUGCUCUUCCACGUGCUUGGCAGCCUGUCAGAGGGAAGUCUCUGUCUCCCCCCCAUCUCUGUGUCUCCCCCUCUUCUCUCUCUUCUCUCUCUCUCCCUCUCUGUCUCUCUGUCUCCCCCCCAUCUCUCUGUCUCUCUCUCUCUCUCUCUCUCUCUGUCUCUCUCUCUCCUCUCUCUUUCUCUCUCCCUCUCUCUCUCUGUCUCUCCCUCCCUCUCCCUCUCCAUCUCUCUCUCUCUCCUCUCUGUCUUUCUCUCUCUCUCUCUGUCUCUACCUCUCUCUCUCUGUAUCUCUCUCUGUCUCUCUCUCUGUCUCUGUCUUUCUCUCUCUUCAUCUCUCUCUGUCUCUCUGUCUCUGUCUCUCUCUGUCUUUCUCUCUCUCUGUCUCUCUUCCUCUCUCUUUCUCUCUCCCUCUCUCCCUCUCUCUCCCUCCCCCUCUCUCUCUGUCUCUCUCUCUGUCUCUCUCUCUCUCUUCUCUCUCUCUCCUCUCUCUUUCUCUCUCCCUCUCUCCCUCUCCCUGUCUCUCUCUCCUCUUUCCCUUUCUUUCUCUCUCUUUCUUUCUCUCUCUUCUGUCUCCAUCUCUCUCUCCCUCUCCCUCAGCCUGUCUCUCUCUCCUCUUUCCCUUUCUUUCUCUCUCUCUCUCUUUCUCUCUUCUGUCUCCAUCUCUCUCUCCCUCUCCCUCAGCCUGUCUCUCUCUCCUCUCCCAUCCCUCCCUCUCCUCAUCUCUCUCUCCCUCUCCCUCCCUUCUCUUCCUCCACCCGCCCCUGCCAUAAUUCCCUCUUGAGAACAGCUCCCAGGCUAAGCCUUCCCCACACACAAAGGAGCAGCAUGGAGUGAAUUUUCACAGCUGGGUUAUAAACUCCUAAAAAUAGUGAUGGGUGAUGGAUUAGGGCUGUCGCUGAGUCGCCAGCCGUGGGGGGAAACGGAGAAGAGAGCAGGGGAGAAUCAAAGGGCUGGGGGAGGGUCCUUCACUGGCUGGAGCCCCCCCUUCUGCUCAGGCCCAGCUCACUCCUGACUCAGGCGGAUGAAUGAGUGUGUCUUUGGGCUUCUGGGAAAAGAGGCCUGGGGUGAAACAAAGCCCGAUUAUCUAGCUAUUAAUUUACUCCGGGAGAGCCGCUUAGGGAGGCUGGAGUCUUACUCGGGUAGAGAACGCGGAGGAUUCACUCUUUUGGCCAGCAUCUAUUAAGCUCCUACUGUGUGCCAGGCACCCUACUAGGUUCUGGGCCUGGAUCUGGGAUUUCUUCAGUGAGAUACGCCAGCGGGGUGACCGGCAUCAGCCCUGGACCCGUCCUUUAUUUCAGUCACUUCUUUUAUUAUUUACUGUAGACAAACUAGCCUUUAAUCUUUCAGCUGCACAUUUCUGGCACUUAUUUUCUGCGCAAGCGCCUGGAAGGCCGUAGCAGACCAGAGCCUCUGGCCAGGGUCACGAAGCUCCUCUGGAGGCCCUGCGGCCCCCUCCGUCUGCUAUCCCAUCCCUGCCUCUCUGGUCCUGGGGAUGCAGAGACGAGGAGGAAUAGAGCCGGGGCACCGGGCCUGGACACGGGAGGACCUGGGUUCGAAUCCGGCCUCAGACACUUUGGGACCCUCGCUAGCAAGUCUCUUAAGCCUGCCGGGCCACUCUUGCCACUCUUCUGUCUACAACUGAUACGAGGAGAGAAGGAAAGCGUUUGUGGGAAAUGAAUGCGGUUCCUGCCUUGGAGAAGUUCUACUCUCCUCGGGGCGACGCACGCACUGAAGUAAGAGGGAGCAGGGUUCAAGGAAGGGCGGUGAAGA
This is a long non-coding RNA of Monodelphis domestica (gray short-tailed opossum), 1813 nucleotides long. Lineage: Eukaryota; Metazoa; Chordata; Mammalia; Didelphimorphia; Didelphidae. The record is from Ensembl.